This 459-nucleotide ribosomal RNA is filed under the name uncultured bacterium. RNAcentral's name for it is "partial 16S ribosomal RNA". It matches the Rfam family "Bacterial small subunit ribosomal RNA", at positions 338 to 795 of the family's 1533-position model. The record is from RNAcentral.
CCUACGGGUGGCAGCAGUGAGGAAUAUUGGUCAAUUGCCGAGAGGCUGAACCAGCCAAGUCGCGUGAGGGAAGACGGCCCUACGGGUUGUAAACCUCUUUUGUCGGGGAGCAAAGCGAACCACGUGUGGUUCAUUGAGAGUACCCGAAGAAAAAGCAUCGGCUAACUCCGUGCCAGCAGCCGCGGUAAUACGGAGGAUGCGAGCGUUAUCCGGAUUUAUUUGGUUUAAAGGGUGCGCAGGCGGAGGUGCAAGUCAGCGGUCAAAUUGCGGGGCUCAACCCCGUACUGCCGUUGAAACUGCAUCCCUUGAGGGCGCGAGAAGUAUGCGGAAUGCGGGGGGUAGCGGUGAAAUGCAGAGAUAUCACGCAGAACUCCGAUUGCGAAGGCAGCAUACCGGCGCGCAACUGACGCUCAUGCACGAAAGCGUGGGUAUCGAACAGGAUUAGAUACCCCUGUAGUC